ACGGAUAUCUAUAUAAAAUCUUCGAUCUGAUUAGAGGCUCUUGAUUUCACUGGGUUGCUAGCUCUUUUGUAGAAAUCAUUUCUUGAUGUUUGAUUCUAGUUUCUUCUUCUGAUCUCUCAAACUCUCUCAGAUCUCUGAAGAACAGAAGGAAGAUGAAGGAAAGAUUAAAAUCUAGAGAAUCCUUUUUCUUUUUUUUUUUUUCUCUCUUCCCAAAAUCCCAUGCCAUACAAUAGAAAGAAACCC
This 243-nucleotide long non-coding RNA is filed under the name Elaeis guineensis (African oil palm). RNAcentral describes it as "long non-coding RNA (EGUI_LNC037230)". Lineage: Eukaryota; Viridiplantae; Streptophyta; Magnoliopsida; Arecales; Arecaceae. The record is from RNAcentral.